CCCAUAUUCAGGCUCCACGGAGCCACAAAUAAUUAGGGGAGUGGUAUUACGAGAGUCGUAAAUGAAAUACAUCUAUGCAACCUGGAGUAAAAUGCAAUAAAAGCCACGCAUACCUCCCAGUUCCCGACUAUCACAUACAACUUAAACACAAGAAUAUGCUAUGCUAUGUGAUUGCGAAGGUGCGCUUCUGCUUUUGUAUACCCUAAACAACUAUUAG
Non-coding RNA from Pelobates cultripes (western spadefoot toad), 217 nucleotides. The record is from the annotation of a GenBank genome assembly. Lineage: Eukaryota; Metazoa; Chordata; Amphibia; Anura; Pelobatidae.